AUGUUUAGUGCUUGAAAAAUUACAUACAAGGUUUGUUUUUCUAAAUUAUUUAAAAAUUUAUAUAAAUAAUAAUAAAUAAUAUAAUGUUGAAAAAUUAACUGAAAACAAAUAAUGUCUAAUAUAUAAUUUGCUCUCAUGAGAUUGACCAUUUAUUGAAAAAGAAAAAGUCUGAGGCCCACUUUGUUGCUUAUUCAAUUAAAUUCAUAUGUAAUUCAUAUUGAAAUGUAAAAUGUUUUAUUCAGAUAAACAGCACUGCAUUGUUUCUUGUGUAGGUGGUUCUUGGCGACAGGGACACUAUUUGUUGUGUCUAUAUGUUGCAGAAUAGAAAACCUACCAUAUUUUGAGCCUUUGGUAAUAUAUCUGCCAUAUUGUGGGACAUUAUCCAUUCUCUCUUUUCCUCCUCAUCUCUGUCUUUAUCCACCUCCACAUCCAGGCCCUCGGGCCUAAACUGCACUGUGUGGGCCCCGGCAUGUGUGCUUGGGUUUUUUGACCUAUAGAUGCUGUGUUGACAUAGCGCUCAGUACUGCAUAAGCUGAUAAAAAUACAAGUGUUCGGGCUACUGUGCUCAGGUCCUGUAGUAUUACACAAUCAGAUCACUGGACCGUGUACUUUGAUAUUUUAAUAUGAAAGAUUUUAGCAAGUUGACGUCACAGUAACUUUAACAUCAUACACAACCACACACUGAUGCUGCUUCAAAACCUACUCAGCUGCAAUCGGAAUCAAUAUGUAAAGGGAUGGCAUUCAAAAUUUAUAAUUUUUUUAAAAAUCCAUUAUUAUUAUUAUUAUUAUUAUUAUUAUUAUUAUUAUUAUUAUUAUUAUUAUUAUUAUUAAAUUUCCGCUCUCCGUCGUCUCUUUCUCUCUCUCUCUCUUAGGAUAAUCUGGCGAGCGAGAGUCGACCCAUGUGAGGACGGGAUUACACUUUUAUUUGCAGAGCUUUUAUCCUGCUUGCCAUCUGUAGGUACACGAGAGAGACAGAAAGCGGCUUUGACUUUCAGGGACCAUUUCUGUCCACUCUGCUCCACAAAUUAUCACCUCACAUUCCUCCUGCAGCAGAGCUCAGCUAGAGGUCAACACUUCACCCUUCUGGAUCCAUCUUGUCCUUCUUUGCCUGCAAUUAACAGCACUGCCUGCAAUCUGAUCCUGGAGCCCUACAGGUGACUCCUACUGUCAGCUCAUCACCUCCCCUGGAGGUGUCUGCUUCAGUUCCUACAGCGCUCCAAAGUGUCUCCCAGGCAGACACUGUAAGAUAGAUUCCACUCUGUAAAAGAGAUUUAUUGUUAGAUAAUUAGGCCUACUGAUGUACGUUAGUAUGUGGUUGAUACAGGUCCUGAUGUUUAAUGUAAUGAGAAUGCCCCCUUAAGUGUGAACAGAAGACCAAGAGAACUAGAGUAAAGAAUUUUCUCAGAGCGGAGAAGAAUAUGAUAUCUGACACAUAUAGCAAUGCACAGGCAUGGGCAGGUGUCAACACAAUCACUCAUAAACAUACAGCAUAUGCAGUCACACAAACACCUAUUCUUGUCAGAAUCUCCUAUAGACUCCAAAAAUUAAAAUAAAAUAAAAUAAAAUAAAAUAAAAUAAAAUAAA
Cyprinus carpio (common carp) is the source of this 1584-nucleotide long non-coding RNA. NCBI's taxonomy places the organism in Eukaryota, Metazoa, Chordata, Actinopteri, Cypriniformes, Cyprinidae. The record is from Ensembl.